Molecule: ribosomal RNA, 500 nt
Filed under: uncultured bacterium
Lineage: Bacteria
Description: partial 16S ribosomal RNA
Rfam family: Bacterial small subunit ribosomal RNA
Source: RNAcentral
GACGAACGCUGGCGGCGUGCUUAACACAUGCAAGUCGAACGGGUCUGCCCUGUGUUUUGCGGGGUGGGUCAGUGGCGAACGGGGGAGUAACACGUGAGUAACCUGCCCCUCACUUCUGGAUAACCGCUGGAAAGGGGGGCUAAUACGGGGUGUUCUGGCUGUGCCGCAUGGUGUGGCUGGGAAAGAUGCACUUUUGGGGAGUUUUGGAGGGGGAUGGGCUGGCGGCGUAUCAGCUUGAUGGUGGGGUGAUGGCCUGCCAAGGCUUUGACGGGUCGCCGGCGUGAGAGGGUCGGCGGUCAUACUGCGACUGCGCUACCGCCCAUACUCCUGCGGGCGGCAGCAGUGGGUGGUACUCCACAAUCGGCGGCAGCCUGAUGCAGCGACGUCGCGUGAGGGAUGGAGGCCUUCGGGUUGUGCACCUCUUUCGCCGGUGAAGAAGGUCCUGCUCUUUGUGGUGGGGUUGACCGUAGCCGGGUUAUGAAGCGCCGGCUAACUACGUG